GACGAACGCUGGCGGCGUGCUUAACACAUGCAAGUCGAACGGAAAGGCCCUGCUUUUGUGGGGUGCUCGAGUGGCGAACGGGUGAGUAACACGUGAGUAACCUGCCCUUGACUUUGGGAUAACUUCAGGAAACUGGGGCUAAUACCGGAUAGGAGCUCCUGCUGCAUGGUGGGGGUUGGAAAGUUUCGGCGGUUGGGGAUGGACUCGCGGCUUAUCAGCUUGUUGGUGGGGUAGUGGCUUACCAAGGCUUUGACGGGUAGCCGGCCUGAGAGGGUGACCGGCCACAUUGGGCCUGAGAUACGGCCCAGACUCCUACGGGAGGCAGCAGUGGGGAAUAUUGCACAAUGGGCGGAAGCCUGAUGCAGCAACGCCGCGUGCGGGAUGACGGCCUUCGGGUUGUAAACCGCUUUCGCCUGUGACGCAGCGUGAGUGACGGUAAUGGGUAAAGAAGUACCGGCUAACUACGUG
RNAcentral lists this ribosomal RNA (468 nucleotides) under uncultured bacterium. Its description in RNAcentral is "partial 16S ribosomal RNA". It matches the Rfam family "Bacterial small subunit ribosomal RNA", at positions 28 to 507 of the family's 1533-position model. The record is from RNAcentral.